This 497-nucleotide ribosomal RNA is filed under the name uncultured bacterium. Its description in RNAcentral is "partial 16S ribosomal RNA". It matches the Rfam family "Bacterial small subunit ribosomal RNA", at positions 28 to 507 of the family's 1533-position model. The record is from RNAcentral.
GAUGAACGCUGGCGGCGUGCCUAAUACAUGCAAGUCGAGCGAACGGACGAGAAGCUUGCUUCUCUGAUGCUAGCGGCGGACGGGUGAGUAACACGUGGAUAACCUACCUAUAAGACUGGGAUAACUUCGGGAAACCGGAGCUAAUACCGGAUAAUAUUUUGAACCGCAUGGUUCAAAAGUGAAAGACGGUCUUGCUGUCACUUAUAGAUGGAUCCGCGCUGCAUUAGCUAGUUGGUAAGGUAACGGCUUACCAAGGCAACGAUGCAUAGCCGACCUGAGAGGGUGAUCGGCCACACUGGAACUGAGACACGGUCCAGACUCCUACGGGAGGCAGCAGUAGGGAAUAUUCCGCAAUGGGCGAAAGCCUGACGGAGCAACGCCGCGUGAGUGAUGAAGGUCUUCGGAUCGUAAAACUCUGUUAUUAGGGAAGAACAUAUGUGUAAGUAACUGUGCACAUCUUGACGGUACCUAAUCAGAAAGCAACGGCUAACUACGUG